AGAAGAUACUGGAUGGCUUAUGGAAAUGGUGGGUGCAAUUCUUACAAAUAUCUUGAGAUGAUUCCACUUUGCUGUAAAGUGCCAACCCAUGGGAAGCAAAAGGUGAUGAUUUGGAGAGUUGACAGAAGGAACGGGUUGCGGUAGCAAAUUCAUGCCAGAUUGACUGCAGCCACAGCAAGGGUCAAGGACUUAGAAUGUUUCAUUUAUUGUUGAUAUUUGUCUUAUUAACUAUUAUCAAUACUUAAAGUAUGUGUUGAGAUACAUAAGUGCUCAAAUUCAAUUUGGAACACUUAUGUGGCAUUAAAAAAACAUUUGUAUAUGUCUUUUUAACAUUAUUUGUAUUUGUUGUUUGAAAAGAUGUAAUAUUUGGAGCAAAUGGUGAUGGAAUUGGUAAAAUGAAAUAAAAAUGGAUCAGAGAUUGAGACAUGAAUUUCAUGUUCAAUUGCCAAUGAUCCUUGAAUCAAGGGUUAAGGAUGCACUUGGAUUUAAAGAUAUAUCAAAGUUUAAAAUUAAAAUAUUUCUGUCUGUCAUUUUUUAUCAUAAACAAAUAUCUAAUCUAUUGUUGUUUGUAAGACCAAUUUCUUAUUGCUUUUUAUUUUUUUUCCAACAUUUUUUAUCAUAAAAUUAAAAUAUUUUUGUCUUUGUCUUUGUUGCAAACUGCUACAUCUUGAUGUAAAUGGAUUUUUGAGUUUUUUGUUGAGAUCAUGUGUGAGUAUGAUACUGUGAUCUUUCUCUAUUGUUGAUCUUUGGCCAAUACUUAAUUUAGAUUUGUUUUUAGAUUGUGCUCUCUCUUUUUUUCUUAUUUAUUUGUUUUGUUUUCACUUUCAAAAUUAUCCCAGAUAAAAAGUCAAACUAUUUUGUGUAAGUUUCUGCAAUUAAAAAGUUUCACUGCUACAAAU
Molecule: non-coding RNA, 899 nt
Organism: Arachis ipaensis
Lineage: Eukaryota; Viridiplantae; Streptophyta; Magnoliopsida; Fabales; Fabaceae
Source: RefSeq, a predicted model, not a curated record